This 355-nucleotide ribosomal RNA is filed under the name uncultured bacterium. RNAcentral's name for it is "partial 16S ribosomal RNA". It matches the Rfam family "Bacterial small subunit ribosomal RNA", at positions 338 to 710 of the family's 1533-position model. The record is from RNAcentral.
CCUACGGGGGGCAGCAGUGGGGAAUAUUGCACAAUGGGGGAAACCCUGAUGCAGCGACGCCGCGUGAGUGAAGAAGUAUUUCGGUAUGUAAAGCUCUAUUAGCAGGGAAGAGAAUGACAGUACCUGAGCAAGAAGCCCCGGCUAACUACGUGCCAGCAGCCGCGGUAAUACGUAGGGGGCAAGCGUUAUCCGGAUUUUAUGGGUGUAAAGGUAGCGUAGGCGGUGUUUGAAGUUAGGAGGGAAAGCCCCGGGCUCAACCCCGGGACUGCUUGGGAAACUGUGUUGCUGGAGUACAGGAGAGGCAGGCGGAAUGCCUGGUGUAGCGGUGAAAGGCGUAGAUAUCAGGCAGAACACC